AAGCCAGACUCCUACGGGAGGCAGCAGUGGGGAAUAUUGCACAAUGGGGGAAACCCUGAUGCAGCGACGCCGCGUGAGUGAAGAAGUAUUUCGGUAUGUAAAGCUCUAUCAGCAGGGAAGAAAAUGACGGUACCUGACUAAGAAGCCCCGGCUAACUACGUGCCAGCAGCCGCGGUAAUACGUAGGGGGCAAGCGUUAUCCGGAUUUACUGGGUGUAAAGGGAGCGUAGACGGCAUGGCAAGUCAGAUGUGAAAGCCCGGGGCUCAACCCCGGGACUGCAUUUGAAACUGUCAGGCUGGAGUGCAGGAGAGGUAAGUGGAAUUCCUAGUGUAGCGGUGAAAUGCGUAGAUAUUAGGAGGAACACCAGUGGCGAAGGCGGCUUACUGGACUGUAACUGACGUUGAGGCUCGAAAGCGUGGGGAGCAAACAGGAUUAGAUACCCUUGUACA
This 449-nucleotide ribosomal RNA is filed under the name uncultured bacterium. RNAcentral describes it as "bacterial SSU rRNA". It matches the Rfam family "Bacterial small subunit ribosomal RNA", at positions 328 to 794 of the family's 1533-position model. The record is from RNAcentral.